RNAcentral lists this ribosomal RNA (497 nucleotides) under uncultured bacterium. Its description in RNAcentral is "partial 16S ribosomal RNA". It matches the Rfam family "Bacterial small subunit ribosomal RNA", at positions 28 to 507 of the family's 1533-position model. The record is from RNAcentral.
GACGAACGCUGGCGGCGUGCCUAAUACAUGCAAGUAGAACGCUGAAGCUUGGUGCUUGCACCGAGCGGAUGAGUUGCGAAUGGGUGAGUAACGCGUAGGUAACCUGCCUGGUAGCGGGGGAUAACUAUUGGAAACGAUAGCUAAUACCGCAUAAGAGUAGAUGUUGCAUGACAUUGGCUUAAUAGGUGCAAUGGCAUCACUACCAGAUGGACCUGCGUUGUAUUAGCUAGUUGGUGAGGUAACGGCUCACCCAGGCAACGAUACAUAGCCGACCGGAGAGGGUGAUCGGCCACACGGGGACUGGGACACGGCCCAGACUACUACGGGAGGCAGCAGUAGGGGAUCUUCGGCAAUGGACGGAAGUCUGACCGAGCAACGCCGCGUGAGUGAAGAAGGUUUUCGGAUCGUAAAGCUCUGUUGUAAGAGAAGAACGAGUGUGAGAGUGGAAAGUUCACACUGUGACGGUAGCUUACCAGAAAGGGACGGCUAACUACGUG